GAACAUGGUAGAAUGAUGAAAUCCUUGAAUGGUUUGGCUUGGAAGGGACCCUAAAGAUCAUCUGGUUCCACGCUGAGCAACUUCCCAGCAGAGCAGGUUGCUGCGGCCCCUGUCCAAGCUGGCCUUGGAUGCUCCUUGGCGUGGGGUAUGCACAGCCUCUCUGCACUGGUCCCUGUGUCAGGGACAAGCACCCUGAGAGGAAAGAACUUCUUCCCAUCAUGGAAUGGAUUCCAGCUCUUGCAGUUUCAUCUCAUUCCCCCUUGUUCUGUCACUUCAGUUCCUGACAAAGAGUCCUCUCCCACUUCCCUGUGGGUCAGGCUGUUCCUGCAGGGUCACACAUGAGGCUGAAGCUGCAGGCAGGAGAGAGAGAAGCCAAGCUGGCAGAGAGAGGAAAUGGGGAAAGUGACAUGAGAGAUGAGAGAAGAAGGAAAAUGUAGAGACAUGCAAGGCAUUGGGUUGGGUGGGCUGUGGGAUUCAUGCCUUUUAUUUGAGGCCAGGUUCUCUGGUGCACUCAAUGACUGUGUGAUUGGGGCGUGUCCACAGUGAGCCCGUGUGAGCGAGCUGCACUGCCAGAGGCCGGAGCACACUUGCUUCAUGUGCUGAUGCAUGAGGCCAGAGACGGGUCUUUGUGUGCAACUCCAAACACUGUGCAUUGCGAUGAAGAGGGUCCAGGGCCAGAGAGAAAAUGAGGCUGGGGACUGAGGGUUUUAUAUGGGGGGGAGAAGGGGCGACGCCAGGACCGGCAGGGGAGAAGAGAGGGAAGAACAUUCUCUGGAGAGUAGAUAUAAGGAAAAAAUGGCAGUUGAAGUGGGUGAUGGCAACAAAAGCUGCAGAUUGCAAGAGGCUGCAAGUGGCCAUGGGUGAGAGCCCUGCAUUCAGAGGGGUUUCUCUGUUUCACCUUGGUCCCCUUUGCCCUAAGGUAUUACAGUUGCAAUGAGAGGCCCCUGGGCAUCCACAACUGCCCCCUUUUUGUUUUCCAGAAUGAAGGCUUCUGCCAUGGACUUUUGCAAGCGUUGAGCAAAACUGGAUAGAAUAAGCAACACAAUGAAUACAAGAAACAAAGUCCACAAAACAGUCUUAAGUAAAGGUGAAAGCCGGCCUUUCAUGCCCCAGUCUUUCAAAAGUCCAGUGAGCCAGUCGUUGUUGCCUUUCGUCUGGAUCUUGUUUGUUUGAUCUUUGAGCAGCUGGACGCUCUGGUAUACUGAGUCCCUAUGUGAGAAGAGGUUGACAAGCGUGGCCAUGGGCAAGAAAUUGUGGCUUGGCUGUGGAAGCAGCCAGCUGAAGGCACGUGGCAUAGUGAGGAGCUUUGCUGCUUGUGGCUGCCUGCUGCAGCGGCAACAAAGGACAGCAUGCUUUGACUUUAGCUAAUUUAGUAGUUGGUGGAGGCUUGGGUGGCCUGAAAGUAAAAAGAUAAGGAGAUUGCAAAGUGAAACUUAAAUUCUGGUCCCACUAAACUUUCUCUUCUGUAAGGCAAGGGUUUGAACUCAGCUUAUUAGAAGAAUCAAAUAUAAAUGCUACAAUAUAGUUUUUCCAAAUGUUAAGUGAUAUACCCCGCUUAGUGGUGUCUGAGCUAUCUUGGUGUUGGCCUGUGUGGUCCACGCUGCUUAAGAGAUCUUCUUCUGUCCUUCUUCUUCUUCUUUUACAGGCUGCUGCUGUCUCUCUUAGGCUUUCAUUCUGUUUUUCUGAUGGUGGCUCUGGUGUUUGCCUGGCCAUUGGCAGAAGGGUUUGAUGUUUUUUGCUGGGAUCCAUCUUGGGCCUGCUGCUUUAGAGACACAAGCGUAUCCCCUCCCCCAGGUGGGACCCCACCUGCAGAGCUGGCCCGGCACAGGGAGGAGCUGCAGCUGCUGGAGCCAGGCCAGAGGAGGCUCCAGGAUGAGCAGAGGGAUGGAGCAGCUCUGCUGGCAGGAAAGCCUGGCACACCUGGGAAUGUUCACCUGGAGAGAAACUUUGGGGUGAUGUUACCUGAAGGAGCUGACGGGAAACAAGUAGAGACAAUUUCCAGGGGAUGGAGGGACAGGACACAGGGAAUGGCUUCCCAGUGCCAGAGGGCAGGGAUGGAUGGGAUAUUGGCAAAAGCCCAUAUUCCCCAUUUUUUACCACUUUUGGGAAUACCUGGUCCAGCAGGAGAGCUCCCUGACACAAGUGAGCGUUCCUUGGCUGCCAGCAGGCAGGACCCCCCCACACCACACAGGCAGCAGGCACCCAGCCCUGGGAAAGAGGAAAAUUGCUGGACACAACAUAAAUCCAUGGAGAAACCCCUGAUUAGUUUUGCAGGUGGGAUUUGCUCCUACAGAAACAACAGAACUCAGGCUUCAACCAGGAAAAACUUUUAUUCCCCAGUGAUUAGUAUUUUAACAAGUAUUCCCAUGUGCAGUACAAAAAAAGGGCAUUCAAAGCUCUGGAUAUUCAGGUGGCAGAAGGGCUCAUGGCUAAACUAACAGUGCCAGGGACAUUUAAGGAGUCUGGAUUAUUUCACAAAGUCAGGGUUUCCUAGAAGACUGCAAGGAAUCCAAAGGGAUCCAAAUCUCAUUUUAGAAAGCAAAUUACUCCUUUUGUUCCAGCUUUUGCAUUUAAAUACCAUUUUUGUCUGAAGCCCUGUCUGUCCCUCCCUGUGGAGGAUUUUGUGAACAGCUGGCUAGUUGACAAAGGUCACACUGAUAUAAUACCAUUAGUUAAGGAAGAAGGAGAUAGGUAUAGGAGCCAGCAGUCAGUGUCUAAAUCAGGCAAGGGCGCUGUGCCCUUGGUGCAACAUCAGGAUGGGGGAGAGGAUUGUUAGUUAGAAAUAUGAAGAAAAGAUGUGGACAGCUGCAACAUAGUAGUCACAAGAAUGAUAAGGUAGGCAUAGUUAGCUGAUAAGUAACUAACCAAUAAUGAGCUCGCCUUUUGCAAUAUGUACUAGCCUCAUUAACACCAAUAUAAAUGUAUGUGCCUAUCAAUAAAGUUUUGAGAUUUGC
Long non-coding RNA from Passer domesticus (house sparrow), 2954 nucleotides. RefSeq lists it as uncharacterized. Lineage: Eukaryota; Metazoa; Chordata; Aves; Passeriformes; Passeridae. The record is from RefSeq and is a predicted model, not a curated record. The transcript has 2 exons.